Molecule: ribosomal RNA, 492 nt
Filed under: uncultured bacterium
Lineage: Bacteria
Description: partial 16S ribosomal RNA
Rfam family: Bacterial small subunit ribosomal RNA
Source: RNAcentral
AGUGAACGCUGGCGGUAGGCCUAACACAUGCAAGUCGAACGGCAGCACAGUAAGAGCUUGCUCUUACGGGUGGCGAGUGGCGGACGGGUGAGGAAUACAUCGGAAUCUACUUUUUCGUGGGGGAUAACGUAGGGAAACUUACGCUAAUACCGCAUACGACCUACGGGUGAAAGCAGGGGAUCUUCGGACCUUGCGCUAUUGAAUGAGCCGAUGUCGGAUUAGCUAGUUGGCGGGGUAAAGGCCCACCAAGGCGACGAUCCGUAGCUGGUCUGAGAGGAUGAGCAGCCACACUGGAACUGAGACACGGUCCAGACUCCUACGGGAGGCAGCAGUGGGGAAUAUUGGACAAUGGGCGCAAGCCUGAUCCAGCCAUACCGCGUGGGUGAGGAAGGCCUUCGGGUUGUAAAGCCCUUUUGUUGGGAAAGAAAAGCAGCAGGUUAAUACCCCGCUGUUCUGACGGUACCCAAAGAAUAAGCACCGGCUAACUUCGUG